Molecule: signal recognition particle RNA, 204 nt
Filed under: Succiniclasticum ruminis DSM 9236
Lineage: Bacteria; Bacillati; Bacillota; Negativicutes; Acidaminococcales; Acidaminococcaceae
Description: Bacterial large signal recognition particle RNA
Rfam family: Bacterial small signal recognition particle RNA (bases 79-178)
Source: RNAcentral
CAUUUAAAAAUGAGUGCCGCAUUGCGGCUUUUUUCUUCUGAAUUGAAGAACAAUAAUGGUUUUUCUGUAAGGCUGUAGCGGCAGGUCCUGCGCGAUGGAGGCCUGUGAACCGUGUCAGGUCCGGAAGGAAGCAGCACUAAGCGGAUACCUGCAUGCGCCGCGGGGGUGCCUGCCCUGCGGUCUUACAGGAAAACCGGUUGAGAG